GAUGAACGCUGGCGGCGUGCUUAACACAUGCAAGUCGAACGGUGAAAGAGAGCUUGCUCUCUGGAUCAGUGGCGAACGGGUGAGUAACACGUGAGCAAUCUGCCCCUGACUCUGGGAUAAGCGCUGGAAACGGCGUCUAAUACCGGAUACGAGCUGCGAAGGCAUCUUCAGCAGCUGGAAAGAACUUCGGUCAGGGAUGAGCUCGCGGCCUAUCAGCUUGUUGGUGAGGUGAUGGCUCACCAAGGCGUCGACGGGUAGCCGGCCUGAGAGGGUGACCGGCCACACUGGGACUGAGACACGGCCCAGACUCCUACGGGAGGCAGCAGUGGGGAAUAUUGCACAACGGGCGCAAGCCUGAGGCAGCAACGCCGCGUGCAGGAGGAAGUCCUUCGGGACGUAAACUGCUUUUAUAGGGGAGGAACGCAAGUGACUGUACCCUAUGAAUAAGGACUUGCUAAUCUCGUGCCAGCCGCCGCCGUAA
Molecule: ribosomal RNA, 481 nt
Filed under: uncultured bacterium
Lineage: Bacteria
Description: partial 16S ribosomal RNA
Rfam family: Bacterial small subunit ribosomal RNA
Source: RNAcentral